CAACGUCGCGAAAUAUUACUCCGGGUUUAUUGGUAAAUCGUGUGUUUUUUUUAUUGCUUUUAAAUAUUUUAUUGUGUUUAUUGGUUGAAAAUGUCAUCGGGGUUUCAAAGUUUUUUAUAAUCUCCGCAAACCUUUUGUUUGAUAGAAGUGGAAUUCGAUACAACACGGGUUUCUAAAUCGGUCGCCAGUUUGGUUAACUCUUGGUGUUUUGUGAAGUGAAUUAAGUACUUUUCUGUUGACGACAAUUGUGUAUAUACGACCACUAACAUUUUGGCAAUAACUCCAAGUCGCUUCACUUUUUGUGUUUCCAUGUCCAUUACAUGGUGCUUGGUGCAAUGUUCGUUUUUCAGAGUUGAAAAUACAUUUUUCGAGACUAUUUGUGUGAAACACUACAAAAAUCUCAAGGAUAACAUAAUAUUUUUGUUAAAAUUGUUUAAUAAGUUAUGGGCAAAGUCGUACUGAAUUAAAUCAGACAUAAUUUAUGAAUCUUCGUUAACAUUUGCAACAGUGAUUAUCGCGAUAUGUUUUAUAGUGAUUGUGAUCGUGAGUUUAUUCGAUUGGUUCGUUGGCAAGUAUAACCACAUUGGACUUAGAAUCCUUAAAUUUGUUAAAUUGAAAAUCAAAUCGAUUUGGCCUUGGUUUAAUUAUUGUUUACCCUG
This is a long non-coding RNA of Stomoxys calcitrans (stable fly), 659 nucleotides long. RefSeq lists it as uncharacterized. Lineage: Eukaryota; Metazoa; Arthropoda; Insecta; Diptera; Muscidae. The transcript has 3 exons. The record is from RefSeq and is a predicted model, not a curated record.